This is a long non-coding RNA of Brienomyrus brachyistius, 368 nucleotides long. RefSeq lists it as uncharacterized. The record is from RefSeq and is a predicted model, not a curated record. Lineage: Eukaryota; Metazoa; Chordata; Actinopteri; Osteoglossiformes; Mormyridae. The transcript has 3 exons.
GAAUCUGUGAGGGAGGAAGGAGAGUGUCAGUAUGUGUGAGAGGCAGGAAGGCGGGUAUAAGUGAGUCUGUGAGGGAGGAAGGCGAGUGUCAGUAUGUGUGAGAGGCAGGAAGACGGGUAUAAGGGAGUCUGUGAGGGAGGAAGGCGAGUGUCAGUAUGUCUGAGAGGCAGGAAGGCUGGUAUAAGUGAGUCUCUGAGGGAGGAAGGAUAGUGUCAGUAUGUGUGAGAGGCAGGAAGGCGGGUAUAAGUGAGUCUGUGAGGGAGGAAGGCGAGUGUCAGUAUGUGUGAGAGGCAGGAAGGCGGGUAUAAGUAGUCUGUGAGGGAGGAAGGUGAGUGUCAGUAUGUGUAAGAGGCAGGAAGGCAGGUAUA